CGCGUAGGCGGUUCGCUAAGUUGGAUGUGAAAACUCUGGGCUCAACCCAGAGCCUGCAUCCAAAACUGGCGGGCUAGAGUUCUGGAGGGGGUAGCGGAAUUCCUGGUGUAGCGGUGAAAUGCGUAGAUAUCAGGAGGAACACCGGUGGCGAAGGCGGCUACCUGGACAGAAACUGACGCUGAGGCGCGAAAGUGGAGGGCAAC
This 203-nucleotide ribosomal RNA is filed under the name uncultured bacterium. Its description in RNAcentral is "partial 16S ribosomal RNA". It matches the Rfam family "Bacterial small subunit ribosomal RNA", at positions 568 to 769 of the family's 1533-position model. The record is from RNAcentral.